AUGUUUGAGGAGAUGAAAAAGAAGUUUCAGAAGUAUUGGACAGAUAUCCAUGGUCUGAUGGCUAUUGCCACUGUUCUUGACCCAAGGUACAAACUCCAUAUGGUGCAGGCUUUGUAUGGUCCUCUUUAUGGACCUGAGGCUGCAAUUCAAGAGGUUGCGCGCGUGAAGCAAUUGCUCUGUGAACUGUUGGUUCAAUACCAAGAUGCCUCUUCUGCGGGAACAUCAAAUGUUGCUAGUGCUACACAGCCCACUGCUUCAGCUUCACAGGAAGAAGUUUUUGACAUAUUUGAACAGUACAUGUCUUCACAACCUACUGCUUCAUCUUUGUUGGUUCAUACAGAGCUUGCCAUGUAUUUAGAAGAGCCAACCUUGCCAAGAACACAGAUUUUUGAUAUCAUCAAUUGGUGGAAGUUUGGGGGGAUAAAAUAUCCAACUCUACAGCUUAUUGCUCAUGAAAUCUUGCCUAUUUCGGUCACAAUGGUAGCAACAGAAUUUGCAUUCUCUACAAGUGGUAGAAUCCUUAGCCCUCGUCGUAGUAGGCUCGCACCAAAGAUCGUUGAAGCUAUAAUGUGUAUGCAGGCUUGGUCUAAUGCUGACAUGCUAGGUAAGACAACUCAAAUGUUGUUCUUUUGCUCCUAUUCUACUUCUAUUUUGUUGUUGCUACACUAUUUUUUUCUUGCUUAG
This 684-nucleotide ribosomal RNA is filed under the name Triticum aestivum (bread wheat). RNAcentral's name for it is "partial small subunit ribosomal RNA". Lineage: Eukaryota; Viridiplantae; Streptophyta; Magnoliopsida; Poales; Poaceae. The record is from RNAcentral.